CUUGACACUGAACAUUGAGCCUUGAUGUGUAGGAUAGGUGGGAGGCUUUGAAGUGUGGACGCCAGUCUGCAUGGAGCCGACCUUGAAAUACCACCCUUUAAUGUUUGAUGUUCUAACGUUGACCCGUAAUCCGGGUUGCGGACAGUGUCUGGUAGGUAGUUUGACUGGGGCGGUCUCCUCCUAAAGAGUAACGGAGGAGCACGAAGGUUGGCUAAUCCUGGUCGGACAUCAGGAGGUUAGUGCAAUGGCAUAAGC
Molecule: ribosomal RNA, 255 nt
Filed under: Escherichia coli
Lineage: Bacteria; Pseudomonadati; Pseudomonadota; Gammaproteobacteria; Enterobacterales; Enterobacteriaceae
Description: partial 23S ribosomal RNA
Rfam family: Bacterial large subunit ribosomal RNA
Source: RNAcentral